This 739-nucleotide ribosomal RNA is filed under the name Thiomargarita namibiensis. Its description in RNAcentral is "bacterial SSU rRNA". It matches the Rfam family "Bacterial small subunit ribosomal RNA", at positions 60 to 792 of the family's 1533-position model. Lineage: Bacteria; Pseudomonadati; Pseudomonadota; Gammaproteobacteria; Thiotrichales; Thiotrichaceae. The record is from RNAcentral.
AGUCGAACGGUAACAGGCCCUUCGGGGUGCUGACGAGUGGCGGACGGGUGAGUAACGCAUAGGAAUCUGCCUAGUAGUGGGGAACAACCUGGGGAAACUCAGGCUAAUACCACAUAAGUCCUACGGGAGAAAGAGGGCCUCUUCUUGAAAGCUCUCGCUAUUAGAUGAGCCUAUGCCGGAUUAGCUUGUUGGUGGGGUAACGGCCUACCAAGGCUACGAUCCGUAGCUGGUCUGAGAGGACGAACAGCCACACUGGGACUGAGAUACGGCCCAGACUCCUACGGGAGGCAGCAGUAUGGAAUAUUGGACAAUGGGCGAAAGCCUGAUCCAGCAAUGCCGCGUGUGUGAAGAAGGCCUGCGGGUUGUAAAGCACUUUCGAUUGGGAAGAAAAGCUUAGAGUUAAUACCUCUGAGUCUUGACAUCAGCAAUAGAAGAAGCACCGGCUAACUCUGUGCCAGCAGCCGCGGUAAUACAGAGGGUGCGAGCGUUAAUCGGAAUUACUGGGCGUAAAGCGUGCGUARGUGGUUGAGUAAGUCGGAUGUGAAAGCCCAAGGCUUAACCUUGGAAUUGCAUUCGAUACUGCUGAGCUAGAGUACAGUAGAGGGAAGCGGAAUUCUUAGUGUAGCGGUGAAAUGCGUAGAUAUUAAGAAGAACACCAGUGGCGAAGGCGGCUUCCUGGACUGAUACUGACACUGAGGUACGAAAGCGUGGGGAGCAAACAGGAUUAGAUACCCUGGUA